RNAcentral lists this ribosomal RNA (397 nucleotides) under uncultured bacterium. RNAcentral describes it as "partial 16S ribosomal RNA". It matches the Rfam family "Bacterial small subunit ribosomal RNA", at positions 523 to 918 of the family's 1533-position model. The record is from RNAcentral.
AUACGUAGGGGGCGAGCGUUGUCCGGAAUGAUUGGGCGUAAAGGGCGCGUAGGCGGCCCGGUAAGUCUGGAGUGAAAGUCCUGCUUUUAAGGUGGGAAUUGCUUUGGAUAUUGUCGGGCUUGAGUGCAGGAGAGGUAAGUGGAAUUCCCAGUGUAGCGGUGAAAUGCGUAGAGAUUGGGAGGAACACCAGUGGCGAAGGCGACUUACUGGACUGUAACUGACGCUGAGGCGCGAAAGUGUGGGGAGCAAACAGGAUUAGAUACCCUGGUAGUCCACACUGUAAACGAUGAAUGCUAGGUGUAGGGGGUAUCGACCCCUUCUGUGCCGCAGUUAACACAAUAAGCAUUCCGCCUGGGGAGUACGGCCGCAAGGUUGAAACUCAAAGGAAUUGACGGGG